Molecule: unclassified non-coding RNA, 403 nt
Filed under: Hevea brasiliensis (rubber tree)
Lineage: Eukaryota; Viridiplantae; Streptophyta; Magnoliopsida; Malpighiales; Euphorbiaceae
Source: RNAcentral
GAAAAAUGCAUCAACCUUUCUUUCCUCUUCAUAUUGUUACUUUUGGCAUGAGCAUUAUGGUCAUUUGCUGCUUUCACAUAAUUUGUAGUACGGGUAUUGCAUUUCUGUAUAUUAGUUUUGGGUGUGUUUUUCCCACUGACUUCCUGGAUAUGCUCUUUGUUGUGAGUUGUGACAUAACUAAACUGUUUUAUUCAUAUUUCAAAUUAUUUGAUCAAGGAGUUAACAGUGUUUGUUGGGUAAGGACAAGAUAAUUGUGAACUUAUAGUUGGUGUGCCAUACUUAGGGAAGCUUCUUUGUGACAAGGCACGUGGCUUCUAUGAGACUUGUUUUCAUGGGCCUUUUUUAUAUACUGUGCACACACUAUAUCAGGAAAAAAGUCUUUCCUCUUGAUUAGUUCUAUUGG